RNAcentral lists this ribosomal RNA (462 nucleotides) under uncultured bacterium. RNAcentral's name for it is "partial 16S ribosomal RNA". It matches the Rfam family "Bacterial small subunit ribosomal RNA", at positions 28 to 507 of the family's 1533-position model. The record is from RNAcentral.
GACGAACGCUGGCGGCGUGCUUAACACAUGCAAGUCGAGCGGUAAGGCCUUUCGGGGUACACGAGCGGCGAACGGGUGAGUAACACGUGGGUGAUCUGCCCUGCACUUCGGGAUAAGCCUGGGAAACUGGGUCUAAUACCGGAUAUGACCUCCUAUCGCAUGGUGGGUGGUGGAAAGAUUUAUCGGUGCAGGAUGGGCCCGCGGCCUAUCAGCUUGUUGGUGGGGUAAUGGCCUACCAAGGCGACGACGGGUAGCAGACCUGAGAGGGUGACCGGCCACACUGGGACUGAGAGACGGCGCAGACUCCUACGGGAGGCAGCAGUGGGGAAUAUUGCACAAUGGGCGGAAGCCUGAUGCAGCAACGCCGCGUGAGGGAUGACGGCCUUCGGGUUGUAAACCUAUUUCGGCAGGGACGAAGCGCAAGUGACGGUACCUGCAGAAGAAGCACCGGAUAACUACGUG